CUGGCGGCGUGCCUAACACAUGCAAGUCGAACGAGAAAGUGGAGCAAUCCAUGAGUAAAGUGGCGACCGGGUGAGUAACACGUGACUAACCUACCUCCGAAUGGGGAAUAACUCCGGGAAACCGGGGCUAAUACCGCAUAACACCGCAAGGUCAAAGCAGCAAUGCGUUUGGAGAGGGGGUCGCGGCUGAUUAGCUAGUUGGCGGGGUAACGGCCCACCAAGGCGAAGAUCGGUAUCCGGCCUGAGAGGGCGCACGGACACACUGGAACUGAAACACGGUCCAGACUCCUACGGGAGGCAGCAGUGGGGAAUUUUGCGCAAUGGGGGAAACCCUGACGCAGCAACGCCGCGUGGAGGAUGAAGUCCCUUGGGACGUAAACUCCUUUCGACCAAGACGAUAAUGACGGUACUGGUGGAAGAAGCACCGGCUAACUCUGUGCCAGCAGCCGCGGUAAUACAGAGGGUGCAAGCGUUGUUCGGAAUUAUUGGGCGUAAAGGGCGCGUANGCGGUGCCACAAGUCACUUGUGAAAUCUCCGGGCUUAACUCGGAGCCUGCAGGCGAAACUGUGGUGCUG
RNAcentral lists this ribosomal RNA (575 nucleotides) under uncultured bacterium. RNAcentral describes it as "bacterial SSU rRNA". It matches the Rfam family "Bacterial small subunit ribosomal RNA", at positions 36 to 643 of the family's 1533-position model. The record is from RNAcentral.